CUACGGGUGGCUCCAGUGGGGAAUAUUGCACAAUGGAGGAAACUCUGAUGCAGCAACGCCGCGUGGAGGAUGACACUUUUCGGAGCGUAAACUCCUUUUAUAUAGGAAGAUAAUGACGGUACUAUAUGAAUAAGCACCGGCUAACUCCGUGCCAGCAGCCGCGGUAAUACGGAGGGUGCAAGCGUUACUCGGAAUCACUGGGCGUAAAGAGCGUGUAGGCGGGUUAAUAAGUCAGAAGUGAAAUCCUAUGGCUCAACCAUAGAACUGCUUUUGAAACUGUUAACCUAGAGUGUGGGAGAGGUAGAUGGAAUUUCUGGUGUAGGGGUAAAAUCCGUAGAGAUCAGAAGGAAUACCGAUUGCGAAGGCGAUCUACUGGAACAUAACUGACGCUGAGACGCGAAAGCGUGGGGAGCAAACAGGAUUAGAUACCCUAGUAGUC
RNAcentral lists this ribosomal RNA (439 nucleotides) under uncultured bacterium. RNAcentral describes it as "partial 16S ribosomal RNA". It matches the Rfam family "Bacterial small subunit ribosomal RNA", at positions 339 to 795 of the family's 1533-position model. The record is from RNAcentral.